This 65-nucleotide transfer RNA is filed under the name Rattus norvegicus (Norway rat). It matches the Rfam family "tRNA". Rfam says of the family: Transfer RNA (tRNA) molecules are approximately 80 nucleotides in length. Their secondary structure includes four short double-helical elements and three loops (D, anti-codon, and T loops). Further hydrogen bonds mediate the characteristic L-shaped molecular structure. tRNAs have two regions of fundamental functional importance: the anti-codon, which is responsible for specific mRNA codon recognition, and the 3' end, to which the tRNAs corresponding amino acid is attached (by aminoacyl-tRNA synthetases). tRNAs cope with the degeneracy of the genetic code in two manners: having more than one tRNA (with a specific anti-codon) for a particular amino acid; and 'wobble' base-pairing, i.e. permitting non-standard base-pairing at the 3rd anti-codon position. Lineage: Eukaryota; Metazoa; Chordata; Mammalia; Rodentia; Muridae. The record is from Rfam by way of RNAcentral.
GGGGAUUUAGCUCAGUGGUAGAGCGCUUGCCUAGUGCAAGACCCUGGGUUCGGUCCCCAGCUCCG